UACAACGACAGAUUCAUUCAACUAUCCAAAUAUGCACCGGAUGAAGUGGCUGAGGAUGAGAGAAAGCAGGAACACUUCAUCGAAGGACUCAAUGGACCUUGGCAGUAUGCUCUAGUGGUUCACACCUUUCCAUCAUUUCAGAGGUUGUUUGACACGGCCCUAGCCAUUGAACACAAGUGUGUUCAGCCAGGGGACAUGAAGAGGAAGGCGAUAUCCCAGGGUCAGGGGAGCAGCAAUGUUCGUCCUCGCUAUGUUCCACCCCAGGGUACACCGGUUCGCACUGGAGGAGGCCAGCGUCCAGCUCAGUACACACCACAGGGCACUCCACCGACUCAUCAGGCUGCCCCCACUGGCACCCCGGUGAAAUUCUCAGGACAGAGUGCUGGUACCACAUGCUACAAGUGUGGUAAGACAGGGCAUUAUGCUAAUGUUUGUCCGCAGAGGAUUGCUACUACACCUGUGCAGAACAAGUAACAGACUCCAGGAUCUGGCAAGGGAUUCACUAUUGCUAGGGUUAAUCAAGUCAGCGCUGAUGCUACUGCUAAAGGAGAUGACAUCGCACUUGGUAUGUUUUAUAUUAAUGCAAUUCAUGCAGCAAUAUUAUUUGAUUCUGGUGCUACACAUUCAUUUAUUUCUGCUCGAUAUGCCAACACAAAUGAGUUACCACUGCAAAAUAUGAAAACACCAAUGGUAGUAAUUACACCUAAAGGGCCUGUUGAGGCAAAUUGUAUGACACAUAGAUUGACAUUGACAAUUAUGGGAAGAGAAUUUUGGGCUACCCCUAUAGUAUUAGAGGAAAGCAGUAUAGAUUUGAUCCUUGGUAUGUCAUGGUUAAGAAAGGCAAAGGGCGUUAUACAUUGUGCUAGGGGUAUUGUAGAACUCACUGGCUCUAAAGGAGAAAGAUUUUAAGUUGAAAUUAUAGUAACUGCCUCUACCAGAUGUGGCAGAACCUCCCAAGUUAUUGGGCCCACAUGCACCUGUCCUUGUCUCAAAGACCUCAGACGGCUAUGCAUGUGCACUAGGUAACUUAACAGGAUCUGUCCAAGUGCCCCAAGGACCUCGGAUAAACCACUUACAACCAGAACCGCGGGAUUAAGUAAACACAAAUCACACACCAACAAAUUUUGCAGCGGAAAUCUUAUUACCAAAUUUUACAUGUUACAUCAAGUUUUAUGUACAUGAUCGGAGUGAUUACAAAAGUGAUUCAAAGAAAUUACUUUGAAUUGUUAUAAAUUGUUUAUAAGUUUGAAAUAUAUGCUAGCUUAAGUGACCAUCCUCAAUAAGAAGUUUAGAAGAGUUACUUAGACUUAUAAGAAGGCCGUGCCCACCAGCGCUUAACACCAAUCACAAUCAAGUGACUCGUAACCUGCAACAACAAUGGGUAAAACCCUAAGUACGCAAGUACUCAACAAGACUUACCCGACUAAAGAAAAGACUCUCAAGGAUAUGCUGGAUUUGAGAGUCAAGGAAAGGCUUUUAGCAAGAAUCAACAUUAAUAGUUUGCAGAAAGCUUACUAAAAUGAGUCCUUACUUUCAACAUUUUAAUGCUAGAUUAAGUAUUAAUAGACCUCGUUUGCAUCUAGUCUAAUUUCAUCAUAACUUCAAUCAAUACAACAUGAUUUUUGCUCAUUAUGAUUCCAUCCAUGACUUAAAUUGCAAGUCAGUGACCAAGUCUUCAUAUCCGAGAAGUAACGGUGAUCCUAAAUCGAUUAAUACCUAGCUGGGGAUCUCCAAUCACAUGACAUAUGUAGCACUUAACCCUUGCAUAUGUCAACUCGCCACCGGGGUUCUUAAGACCAGAUCUGGUUCAUGCCCACCGAGAGCACAGAUACACCACCGUCCAGCCUCUUGCCACGGAGGGUACACGCUACUCUCACCAUCUCUCCACUCCCAUUGCGUGUUAUCUUAUUCUGGUAUUAGUCUGCCCGAGGCAAAGCUUACCCAUGAUGAGGCAUGUGACCAGUUAAAAGGUCCUCGGUCAGCAGGCCUACAUUCUCUAUAAUCCUUAAUCAACCUGGGUAGAACAUCACUUGUUCCUAGCCCAAGUCUCGAUUUAAGUACUUCCACCCUUAGGAUUGUUUUUGUUCCUUAGGAUGAAAAGAGUAUUAUAGGGAACUUUGUAGUAAGAUCCCACCACUGCUCCCAAUGAAAAUAUUCUUGCAGGCAGAAGCUAGGCAUUAACGCAAAGGACAACCUCUAUCCACAAGAUUUACCUCUAGGCAAGGCUAAGCAUUUUUGUAAAUCAUAUUUUGAUACUUCAUCAGAAGUAUCUAUAAAGGGAUGGAUUUCAAGGUAGGCAAUGCAUCAAAAGGUUUCCAAGCAACUCCUAUAAACCUAAUGCAUAUUUCGCUAGACUUAAAGUGUGUAAAAAUUAUUUAAAAACACAAGGAAGGGGUCGCAUGCACCGGGGCUUGCCUGGAUAACACUAGGUUAGUGUUGUUAGACGAUGACCACUUGACGAGUAUCCUUGUCCUAGCACUUGAUGAGGGAGGUUCUUCCAUCAGCAUUACCAUGCGUAGUAGCCCGCGCUUGGGGUCGACUUGGCUCGUCUUCCGCAUCACGCGAUUAAUUAUCGUACCUCAUGGGAUGCACAAUGCACAUGUAUGAAUAUAUAGAGGAAUAUUAUAAAACAAUUAAUCUACGUUGAAGAUGACGAAACACUUAUAACAAAGCAUUAAGCAGAUACUAACUAGUGAUAUAUGACUAAUUAUAAUAAUUAUGCUUUUCUAGCCUAUUCAAAGGUAUUUCAUAUAUCACAAAACUAUAUAUAUAUAUAUAUAUAUAUAUAUAUAUAUAUAUAUAUAUAUAUAUAUAUAUAUAUAUAUAUAUUCACGCUCUACUUUCUUUUACGAUUUAUUAACAGAAUCAUAUUACUACAUACAUUUUUACCAAGCAUAUUUUAUACAAUAUACCAUCACACCAAUCACUAGAUAAGAAAAUCGUUGAUCAUAUCCUACUCCAACAUUAUCGAUUACAAACAUAGAUGCUACUAACUACUAGCGCAGGACAUCGACUUCAUCUUACGCGCACUGAACACAAUUAGCAUCGACAAAUCUAUCGAUAAUUGCAUAAAAUACUAAAUUUAACCUACGCGUCACCGAAAUACUACACUCUGUAAAAUAGAACUAGUUCGAAUAUACUCGGCAACUAAACUCCUCGAAGCACACCUCGCAUUACUGGUAUUUCUAACUUAAACUUAAUACGCAAACUAAGCGUCUUAUUUCACAAUCAUAAAAUCAAUAGCAAAAAUAGUAAAUCGGCUCACCGUUACAAUAGCUGACUCGAAUCCGCGAGAUCAGUAAUGAUUUUCCGAUUUAGGCAAUUUGUCGAGCGCUUGGCAGAUACUAUCCGAACUUCACGCACCCCACCAUCCAACUUUUGGACAUCUUCUCUUGGGGAUUCUUUUGUCAGUGCGAUUCCAACUCGGAGACAUCACGUAGGGACCAACAUCGAGACUGGGUGACCGAACGACGACGACAAGACAAAGGUUAGAGACGACUAGAUAUCAACGACAAGCACUAGAGUUUUACGACAGGCUAUUGUAAUGGGACGUCGAUACACUAUCCAUGGCAAUUAGGAGAUCGACGUAGGCGGAAUCGAUAGCCGAACAGGAACUGCGCAGAUCGACGACACGAGACUCGAUCUAGUGAGCACGACGCAAGGGAUCGUAGCUGCCUGCUGCUUCGACAUGAACUACUUGCUGCCGAGCACGACACAGGCCGGGGAGCAGGAACGCUACGCAGCGAAAGCCACGGUUGUGUGCAGGGGUGAACUCGGCUGGGCGCGGCGAGCUGGGCACACGGCGACUUGAGGAAGCUGCGCGCAUGGAAGGAGCAGAGGGGCUACUGAGCGUUCGGCCGACCUCGGCUAGGGAGAGCACCGGGGCGAGCCAUGGAGCUUGGGACGAGGAGCAGGAAGGACCGGCGAGCUUCGGCGAGCUGCGCGCAGGGAAGUUGGGUGCCGAGCGCCAGGAAGGGGAUGGGCUGGAGCAGCGAGCUGCAGAGACCGAGCUCGGCAGAGAGAGCUGCGGCGCGAUAGAGGAAGAAGAUGUGCGCAGGGUGGCAAACUUCGCGCACGCCGGGGAGCUGGGCAAACUCCAUGGGCGAGCAGAAGUCGGGCUCAAAGGGGAUCCGGCUAGGCGCGGCCGAUCAGGGGUGCCGCGGCAAGGGAGUAGAGAGAAUCAUGCGGACGACCGGAACUCCGUCAGGGCGCGCGCCAUGGGGACGAGCUGAGGUGGACCAUGGACGUCCGCGGCUGGAACAGGGAAACUUGAGGGAGCUCGACGGCCAGGAGAAAAAGGCCGAGCAGAGAGGGACUGAGGCGAGCAGGCACCUGGGCACGCGACCAUGAAGAAGGAGGAGCGCGCAUGGGAGCUCCACUGCUGGGAAGAUGAGCGCCGUGGCCAGGAGAUAAGGCCGAUGGCCCCUGCGGUGAAGAAAUAGCAAAGGGAGAGAGAGAGUUAGGCAGUGGAGAUUUUUCUUCCACGAGCGGCGGCCGGAUGAGGAUGCGCGCAGAUGGAAUAUCAGGGACAA
RNAcentral lists this long non-coding RNA (4532 nucleotides) under Zea mays. RNAcentral's name for it is "long non-coding RNA (ZMAY_LNC005333)". Lineage: Eukaryota; Viridiplantae; Streptophyta; Magnoliopsida; Poales; Poaceae. The record is from RNAcentral.